UACGUAGGUGGCAAGCGUUGUCCGGAAUUAUUGGGCGUAAAGCGCGCGCAGGCGGUCCUUUAAGUCUGAUGUGAAAUCCCGCGGCUCAACCGCGGGCGGCCAUUGGAAACUGGGGGACUUGAGUGCAGAAGAGGAAAGUGGAAUUCCACGUGUAGCGGUGAAAUGCGUAGAGAUGUGGAGGAACACCAGUGGCGAAGGCGACUUUCUGGUCUGUAACUGACGCUGAGGCGCGAAAGCGUGGGGAGCAAACAGG
This 253-nucleotide unclassified non-coding RNA is filed under the name uncultured Caryophanaceae bacterium. RNAcentral's name for it is "uncultured Planococcaceae bacterium contains 16S-23S intergenic spacer region". It matches the Rfam family "Bacterial small subunit ribosomal RNA", at positions 524 to 776 of the family's 1533-position model. Lineage: Bacteria; Bacillati; Bacillota; Bacilli; Caryophanales; Caryophanaceae. The record is from RNAcentral.